UUUUCAAAAUUAUUAUCAACUUAAUAAUUUAAAUAAACCCAAACAUUCUGAUAUCUUCGGAUGCAAGGGUUCGAAUCCCUUAUCUCUCAAUUCUGAUAUCUUCGGAUGCAAGGGUUCGAAUCCCUUAUCUCUCA
Naumovozyma dairenensis CBS 421 is the source of this 134-nucleotide non-coding RNA. Lineage: Eukaryota; Fungi; Ascomycota; Saccharomycetes; Saccharomycetales; Saccharomycetaceae. The record is from the annotation of a RefSeq genome assembly.